GGCUCGUUGGUCAAGCGGAUAAGACAUUGCCCUUUCACGGCAGCAACAUGGGUUCAAAUCCCAUACGAGUCA
This 72-nucleotide transfer RNA is filed under the name Agathobacter rectalis. RNAcentral's name for it is "tRNA-Glu". It matches the Rfam family "tRNA". From Rfam's summary of the family: Transfer RNA (tRNA) molecules are approximately 80 nucleotides in length. Their secondary structure includes four short double-helical elements and three loops (D, anti-codon, and T loops). Lineage: Bacteria; Bacillati; Bacillota; Clostridia; Lachnospirales; Lachnospiraceae. The record is from RNAcentral.